RNAcentral lists this ribosomal RNA (653 nucleotides) under uncultured bacterium. RNAcentral describes it as "bacterial SSU rRNA". It matches the Rfam family "Bacterial small subunit ribosomal RNA", at positions 28 to 725 of the family's 1533-position model. The record is from RNAcentral.
AACGAACGCUGGCGGCAGGCCUAACACAUGCAAGUCGAACGGGUGUCUUCGGACACUAGUGGCGGACGGGUGAGUAACGCGUGGGAACGUGCCCUUUGGUUCGGAAUAGCCCUGGGAAACUGGGAGUAAUACCGGAUGAGCCCUACGGGGGAAAGAUUUAUCGCCAAAGGAUCGGCCCGCGUUGGAUUAGGUAGUUGGUGGGGUAAUGGCCUACCAAGCCGACGAUCCAUAGCUGGUUUGAGAGGAUGAUCAGCCACACUGGGACUGAGACACGGCCCAGACUCCUACGGGAGGCAGCAGUGGGGAAUCUUAGACAAUGGGGGAAACCCUGAUCUAGCCAUGCCGCGUGAUCGAUGAAGGCCUUAGGGUUGUAAAGAUCUUUCAGUGGGGAAGAUAAUGACGGUACCCACAGAAGAAGCCCCGGCUAACUCCGUGCCAGCAGCCGCGGUAAUACGGAGGGGGCUAGCGUUGUUCGGAAUUACUGGGCGUAAAGCGCACGUAGGCGGACCGGAAAGUCAGAGGUGAAAUCCCAGGGCUCAACCUUGGAACUGCCUUUGAAACUCCUGGUCUUGAGGUCGAGAGAGGUGAGUGGAAUUCCGAGUGUAGAGGUGAAAUUCGUAGAUAUUCGGAGGAACACCAGUGGCGAAGGCGGC